AGAGUUUGAUCCUGGCUCAGAAUCAACGCUGGCGGCGUGCCUAACACAUGCAAGUCGAACGAGAAAGGGUAGCAAUACCUGAGUAAAGUGGCGCACGGGUGAGUAACACGUGACUAACCUACCCUGGAGUGGGGGAUAACUGAGGGAAACCUUAGCUAAUACCGCAUAAUACCUAAGGGUCAAAGGAGCAAUUCGCUUCAGGAGGGGGUCGCGGCCGAUUAGUUAGUUGGCGGGGUAAUGGCCCACCAAGACAGUGAUCGGUAUCCGGCCUGAGAGGGCGCACGGACACACUGGAACUGAAACACGGUCCAGACUCCUACGGGAGGCAGCAGUGGGGAAUUUUGCGCAAUGGGGGAAACCCUGACGCAGCAACGCCGCGUGGAGGAUGAAGUCCUUCGGGACGUAAACUCCUUUCGAUCGGGACGAUUAUGACGGUACCGGAAGAAGAAGCCCCGGCUAACUUCGUGCCAGCAGCCGCGGUAAUACGAGGGGGGCGAGCGUUGUUCGGAAUUAUUGGGCGUAAAGGGUGCGUAGGCGGUUUUGUAAGUCUUAUGUGAAAUCUAUGGGCUCAACUCAUAGACUGCAUGAGAAACUGCAGGGCUUGAGUAUGGGAGAGGUGAGUGGAAUUCCUGGUGUAGCGGUGAAAUGCGUAGAUAUCAGGAGGAACACCUGUGGCGAAAGCGGCUCACUGGACCAUAACUGACGCUGAUGCACGAAAGCUAGGGGAGCAAACAGGAUUAGAUACCCUAGUAGUCC
RNAcentral lists this ribosomal RNA (756 nucleotides) under uncultured bacterium. RNAcentral describes it as "bacterial SSU rRNA". It matches the Rfam family "Bacterial small subunit ribosomal RNA", at positions 8 to 796 of the family's 1533-position model. The record is from RNAcentral.